This 664-nucleotide ribosomal RNA is filed under the name uncultured euryarchaeote. RNAcentral describes it as "bacterial SSU rRNA". It matches the Rfam family "Archaeal small subunit ribosomal RNA", at positions 83 to 752 of the family's 1478-position model. Lineage: Archaea; Methanobacteriati; Methanobacteriota. The record is from RNAcentral.
CGGCUCAGUAACACGUGGAUAACCUACCCUCAGAUCUGGGAUAACUCCGGGAAACUGGAGAUAAUACCGGAUAAUCCGUGAACGCUGGAAUGCCUUACGGUUGAAAGCUUUAGCGUCUGAGGAUGGGUCUGCGGCCGAUUAGGUAGUUGCUGGGGUAACGUCCCAACAAGCCGAUAAUCGGUACGGGUUGUGAGAGCAAGAGCCCGGAGAUGGAUUCUGAGACACGAAUCCAGGUCCUACGGGGCGCAGCAGGCGCGAAAACUUUACACUGCGCGAAAGCGCGAUAAGGGGACCUCGAGUGCGUGCGCAAAGCGUACGCUUUUCAGAUGCCUAAAAAGCAUCUGGAAUAAGGGCCGGGCAAGACCGGUGCCAGCCGCCGCGGUAACACCGGCGGCUCAAGUGGUGGCCGCUAUUAUUGGGCUUAAAGGGUCCGUAGCCGGACCAGUUAGUCCCUUGGGAAAUCUUACGGCUUAACCGUAAGGCUGCCAAUGGAUACUGCUGGUCUUGGGACCGGGAGAGGCAAGAGGUACCUCAGGGGUAGGAGUGAAAUCCUGUAAUCCUUGAGGGACCGCCAGUGGCGAAGGCGUCUUGCUAGAACGGGUCCGACGGUGAGGGACGAAAGCUAGGGGCACGAACCGGAUUAGAUACCCGGGUAGUCCUAGCC